CUACGGGCUGCUGCAGCUAAGAAUAUUCCGCAAUGGGCGAAAGCCUGACGGAGCAAUCUCGCGUGAAUGAUGAAGGCCUUCGGGUUGUAAAAUUCUUUCAGCAGGGAAGAAUAAUUUCCAAGGAAAUAUUGGAAAGAUGACUGUACCUGCAGAAGAAGCACCGGCUAAUUACGUGCCAGCAGCCGCGGUAAUACGUAGGGUGCUAACGUUGUUCGGAAUCACUGGGCAUAAAGAGUACGUAGGCGGUUAACUAAGUUAGUGGUGAAAUCCUAAGGCUUAACCUUAGGUCUGCCAUUAAGACUGGUUAACUAGCGUUGUUUAUAGAGGGAGCGGGAAUUUCUAGUGUAGGAGUGAAAUCUGUAGAUAUUAGGAAGAACACCAAUGGCGAAGGCAAGCUACUGGGUAACGACUGACGCUGAGGUACGAAAGCUAGGGUAGCGAAUGGGAUUAGAUACCCGAGUAGUC
This 465-nucleotide ribosomal RNA is filed under the name uncultured bacterium. Its description in RNAcentral is "partial 16S ribosomal RNA". It matches the Rfam family "Bacterial small subunit ribosomal RNA", at positions 339 to 795 of the family's 1533-position model. The record is from RNAcentral.